GCUGAACCCCUGCUCCUGGAGCCCCCAGCAGGGCCCUCUGAGGUGGAGCAGCAGC
Molecule: microRNA precursor, 55 nt
Organism: Cercocebus atys (sooty mangabey)
Lineage: Eukaryota; Metazoa; Chordata; Mammalia; Primates; Cercopithecidae
Source: Ensembl